UAUGUGAUCGUCUCUCGCAUAUCAAUAAGCGGAGGAAAAGAAACUAACAAGGAUUCCCCUAGUAACGGCGAGUGAAGCGGGAAGAGCUCAAAUUUGAAAUCUUAAAGGGUUUCCCUUUACGAAUUGUAGUUUAAAGAAGUGUUUUCUGUUGAGGUUUUGGUAAAAGUUCUUUGGAAUAGGACAUCAUAGAGGGUGAGGAUCCCGUAUUUGACCUUUACUUUCAACUUUGUGAUACACUUUCAAAGAGUCGGAUUGUUUGGGAAUGCAGUCCAAAAUGGGUGGUAAAUUUCAUCUAAAGCUAAAUAUUGGCGAGAGACCGAUAGCGAACAUGUACCGUGAGGGAAAGAUGAAAAGAACUUUGAAAAGAGAGUUAAACAGUACGUGAAAUUGUCAAGAGGGAAGCGUUUGACACCAGUGUUGUUUUUCUGAAAAUCAAUUAAAGAACUGUUUAUGCUAAGCUGUUUAGACUUUAUCAGCUAUACUGUUUAGUUUUGAGCUUUUCUUUAAUGCACUUUUCAGUUAACAAGUCAACAUCAAUUUCUUUUGCUGUAAAAAAGCUUGAGGAAGGUGGCUUGAGAUUCGUCUUAAGUGUUUAUAGCCUCUUGCCUAUGCAGUCGGAGAGAUUGAGGUCUGCAGCGUAGAUCCUUCGGGGCUAAAUGCAUUUGUGCUAAGUUAUAGCAUUUUAUAGACAACUUGUUGACUAUGAUUUGUCUUGUAGCUUACUCGCUUAUGUUAUUUUACCUACGCUUAGGAUGUUGAGUAGCGACAUACGCAC
This 775-nucleotide ribosomal RNA is filed under the name uncultured Neocallimastigales. Its description in RNAcentral is "partial large subunit ribosomal RNA". It matches the Rfam family "Eukaryotic large subunit ribosomal RNA", at positions 24 to 649 of the family's 3401-position model. The record is from RNAcentral. Lineage: Eukaryota; Fungi; Neocallimastigomycota; Neocallimastigomycetes; Neocallimastigales.